Molecule: ribosomal RNA, 301 nt
Filed under: uncultured bacterium
Lineage: Bacteria
Description: partial 16S ribosomal RNA
Rfam family: Bacterial small subunit ribosomal RNA
Source: RNAcentral
CAGUCGCCACGGGAAUACGUAGGGGGCAAGCGUUAUCCGGAAUUACUGGGUGUAAAGGGAGCGUAGACGGUUAAACAAGUCUGAAGUGAAAUGCCGGGGCUCAACCCCGGAGCUGCUUUGGGAACUGUAGAACUGGAGUGUCGGAGGGGUAAGCGGAAUUCCCAGUGUAGCGGUGAAAUGCGUAGAUAUUGGGAGGAACACCGGCGGCGAAGGCGGCUUACUGGACGACAACUGACGUUGAGGCUCGAAGGCGUGGGGAGCGAACAGGAUUAGAUACCCCAGUAGUCCCUGUCUCUUAUAC